RNAcentral lists this ribosomal RNA (423 nucleotides) under uncultured bacterium. Its description in RNAcentral is "bacterial SSU rRNA". It matches the Rfam family "Bacterial small subunit ribosomal RNA", at positions 355 to 775 of the family's 1533-position model. The record is from RNAcentral.
UGAGGAAUAUUGGUCAAUGGGCGCAAGCCUGAGCCAGCCAUCCCGCGUGCAGGAAGACGGCCCUAUGGGUUGUAAACUGCUUUUCCAGGGGGAGAAUUUUUCUGUCGUGACAGGAAUUGACGGUACCCUGGGAAUAAGCAUCGGCUAACUCCGUGCCAGCAGCCGCGGUAAUACGGAGGAUGCGAGCGUUAUCCGGAGUUAUUGGGUUUAAAGGGUGCGUAGGCGGAUUGAUAAGUCAGUGGUGAAAACCUGCAGCUUAACUGUAGACUUGCCGUUGAUACUGUCAGUCUUGAGUGUGGUCAAGGUAGGCGGAAUGUGUAAUGUAGCGGUGAAGUGCUUAGAUAUUACACAGAACACCGAUUGCGAAGGCAGCUUACUGGGCCAUUACUGACGCUGAUGCACGAAAGCGUGGGGAUCGAACAG